CUCUGGAACUAUUCAUGGCCUGGUUGAAUGGGGCACUAAGCAGCCUGACAUUUCUCUGCUAGGAACCCCCUCCUCUCACUUUAAAAAUUGCACUUCAUGAAUUGCACAGCAUUUAUAUGAGCUUUUCAGAGGCAUGUCAGCAGGAGGACAUUUGAUUGCCCCAACUUCCACUCUUCCUCAAAAAGGGCCAAAUGUGAAGUCAGUGGAGAAGCUUUGAACAUACAGCGGUGGAGCCGAAGGCAGGAUUUGGCCCUUGAAGCUGUGGAUUACUAGGUUUGGAAGAGAAUUCUGGUCACUCCAUUGCAGCUUGGCUCUGACAAAAUAUGAUUUCUGGACCUUGUCCCAACAAGACGGGAAUUAUUUCAAACAAUAAUUUUGU
This is a long non-coding RNA of Vidua chalybeata, 379 nucleotides long. RefSeq lists it as uncharacterized. NCBI's taxonomy places the organism in Eukaryota, Metazoa, Chordata, Aves, Passeriformes, Viduidae. The transcript is spliced from 3 exons. The record is from RefSeq and is a predicted model, not a curated record.